GACGGGUGAGUAACGCGUGGGGAUGUGCCCUUUGCUACGGAAUAGUCCCGGGAAACUGGGUUUAAUACCGUAUGAGCCCUUCGGGGGAAAGAUUUAUCGGCAAAGGAUCAACCCGCGUUGGAUUAGGUAGUUGGUGGGGUAAUGGCCUACCAAGCCGACGAUCCAUAGCUGGUUUGAGAGGAUGAUCAGCCACACUGGGACUGAGACACGGCCCAGACUCCUACGGGAGGCAGCAGUGGGGAAUCUUAGACAAUGGGGGCAACCCUGAUCUAGCCAUGCCGCGUGAACGAUGAAGGCCUUAGGGUUGUAAAGUUCUUUCAGCUGGGAAGAUAAUGACGGUACCAGCAGAAGAAGCCCCGGCUAACUCCGUGCCAGCAGCCGCGGUAAUACGGAGGGGGCUAGCGUUGUUCGGAAUUACUGGGCGUAAAGCGCACGUAGGCGGACUAUUAAGUCAGGGGUGAAAUCCCGGGGCUCAACCCCGGAACUGCCUCUGAUACUGGUAGUCUUGAGUUCGAGAGAGGUGAGUGGAAUUCCGAGUGUAGAGGUGAAAUUCGUAGAUAUUCGGAGGAACACCAGUGGCGAAGGCGGCUCACUGGCUCGAUACUGACGCUGAG
Molecule: ribosomal RNA, 614 nt
Filed under: Thioclava sediminum
Lineage: Bacteria; Pseudomonadati; Pseudomonadota; Alphaproteobacteria; Rhodobacterales; Paracoccaceae
Description: 16S ribosomal RNA
Rfam family: Bacterial small subunit ribosomal RNA
Source: RNAcentral